AGAGUUUGAUCCUGGCUCAGAUUGAACGCUGGCGGCAGGCUUAAUACAUGCAAGUCGAACGGUAACAGCAAAAAGCUUGCUUUUUGGCUGACGAGUGGCGGACGGGUGAGUAAUACCUAGGAAGCUGCCUGAAUGAGGGGGAUAACACCUGGAAACGGGUGCUAAUACCGCAUAAUGCCUACGGGCCAAAGGGUGGGUAACCACUCGCAUUCAGAUGCGCCUAGGAGGGAUUAGCUAGUUGGUGGGGUAAAGGCCUACCAAGGCGACGAUCUCUAGCUGGUCUGAGAGGAUGACCAGCCACACUGGAACUGAGACACGGUCCAGACUCCUACGGGAGGCAGCAGUAGGGAAUAUUGCACAAUGGGGGAAACCCUGAUGCAGCCAUGCCGCGUGUGUGAAGAAGGCCUUCGGGUUGUAAAGCACUUUCAGAUGGGAAAAAAGUAGUAAUUCGAAUAGGUUUGCUAUGUGAUAUUACCAUCAGAAGAAGCACCGGCUAACUCCGUGCCAGCAGCCGCGGUAAUACGGAGGGUGCAAGCGUUAAUCGGAAUAACUGGGCGUAAAGCGCACGUAGGUGGUUCGACAAGUCAGAUGUGAAAGCCCCGGGCUUAACCUGNGAUGUGCAUUUGAAACUGUUGGACUCGAGUACUGCAGAGGGAGGUAGAAUUCCAGGUGUAGCGGUGAAAUGCGUAGAUAUCUGGAGGAAUACCAGUGGCGAAGGCGGCCUCCUGGACAGACACUGACACUGAGGUGCGAAAGCGUGGGGAGCAACAGGAUUAGAUACUCUGGUAGUCCACGCCGUAAACGAUCUCGAUUUGAAGCUUGGACCGAAGAGUCUGGGUUUCGAAGCUAACGCGAUAAAUAGACCGCCUGGGGAGUACGCCCGCAAGGUUAAAACUCAAAUGAAUUGACGGGGGCCCGUACAAUCGUUGGAGCAUGUGGUUUAAUUCGAUGCAAAGCGAAGAACCUUACCUGAACCCGACAUAGUAGGAAUCUCUAAGAGAUUAGAGAGUGCAGCAAGGAGCCUACACACAGUGGGCAUGCCUCUCGUCAGCUCGUGUCGUGAGAUGUUGGGCUAAGUCCCUCAACGAGCGCAACCACUUAUUAUUUGUUGCCAUGCACGUGAUGGAGGGAACUACAAGAGAAGACUCCCUGGUGACCAACCGGAGGAAGGCAGGGAUGAUGUCAAGUCACCAUGUCCGUAACGGUCAGGGUUACACACGUGUUACCAUGGGUCGUACAGAGGGAAGAGAUACCGCGAGAUGGAGCAGUACCCCAGAAAGCGACUCCUACUCUAGGAAUGAAGUAUGCAACUGGACAUUCAUGAACUCCGGAAUCGAAUAGUAAUCGCUGAAUCACGAAUGUCGUCGCAGAAUACGUUCCUCGGGACCUGUACACGCCGCCAGUCAAGGCGAAUUCGUGAACAAUUCAGGAUGAGUCCAUUAUUGAGGUAUUUGAGUUGCAUCGG
RNAcentral lists this ribosomal RNA (1465 nucleotides) under uncultured bacterium. RNAcentral describes it as "partial 16S ribosomal RNA". It matches the Rfam family "Bacterial small subunit ribosomal RNA". The record is from RNAcentral.